RNAcentral lists this ribosomal RNA (387 nucleotides) under Triticum aestivum (bread wheat). RNAcentral describes it as "partial small subunit ribosomal RNA". Lineage: Eukaryota; Viridiplantae; Streptophyta; Magnoliopsida; Poales; Poaceae. The record is from RNAcentral.
CUGCCUCUCUCAGGUGCUGUCCAAUGGUGGGGUGAGUGGCAGCUACACGUUCUCGCUCUUGGCAGCCUUGUUAUCCGGUACGUCCUCACUAUUUUUGCCAGCCUCCGCACGGCUGGCCCUGCACCGUGGGUCAGAUUUGUCACCUGGCUCGCGUUCCUAGGAAGCGAUGCCAUGGCGAUAUAUGCUCUCGCCAUGCUCUUCAACCAGCAAAGGUACAAGCAGCUACCCAGCUCUGCCCAUCAAAGCCAUGGUCUGCAGGUGCUUUGGGCACCUAUCUUGCAGAUGCACCUUGGCGGGCAAGUUGUCAUACCUGCCUAUAAUAUCGAAGACAACGAGCUAUGGAGACGGCACAUUGUUACCUCGCUAUCUCAGAAAAUGAAAAGCAAA